GGGUUGUGAGGUUAAGCGACUAAGCGUACACGGUGGAUGCCCUGGCAGUCAGAGGCGAUGAAGGGCGUGCUAAUCUGCGAUAAGCGCCGGUAAGGUGAUAUGAACCGUUAUAACCGGCGAUACCCGAAUGGGGAAACCCAGUGUGAUUCGUCACACUAUCAUUAACUGAAUCCAUAGGUUAAUGAGGCGAACCGGGGGAACUGAAACAUCUAAGUACCCCGAGGAAAAGAAAUCAACCGAGAUUCCCCCAGUAGCGGCGAGCGAACGGGGAGGAGCCCAGAGCCUGAAUCAGCAUGUGUGUUAGUGGAAGCGUCUGGAAAGGCGCGCGAUACAGGGUGACAGCCCCGUACACAAAAGCGCAUGUGCUGUGAGCUCGAUGAGUAGGGCGGGACACGUGGUAUCCUGUCUGAAUAUGGGGGGACCAUCCUCCAAGGCUAAAUACUCCUGACUGACCGAUAGUGAACCAGUACCGUGAGGGAAAGGCGAAAAGAACCCCGGCGAGGGGAGUGAAAAAGAACCUGAAACCGUGUACGUACAAGCAGUGGGAGCCCCACCACUAAGCCAGUGGUGAACUCCACAUACGCAUCCUUUGCUGAGGAUACGGUUAACGGAGCGAAAGCGACGUUCAACCGCAAAAGAAGCAGAGGGGGCUUAGUGGUGGGGUGACUGCGUACCUUUUGUAUAAUGGGUCAGCGACUUAUAUUCUGUAGCAAGGUUAACCGAAUAGGGGAGCCGGAGGGAAACCGAGUCUUAAUUGGGCGUUAAGUUGCAGGGUAUAGACCCGAAACCCGGUGAUCUAGCCAUGGGCAGGUUGAAGGUUGGGUAACACUAACUGGAGGACCGAACCGACUAAUGUUGAAAAAUUAGCGGAUGACCUGUGGCUGGGGGUGAAAGGCCAAUCAAACCGGGAGAUAGCUGGUUCUCCCCGAAAGCUAUUUAGGUAGCGCCUCGUGAAUUCAUCUCCGGGGGUAGAGCACUGUUUCGGCUAGGGGGCCAUCCCGGCUUACCAACCCGAUGCAAACUGCGAAUACCGGAGAAUGUUAUCACGGGAGACACACGGCGGGUGCUAACGUCCGUCGUGAAGAGGGAAACAACCCAGACCGCCAGCUAAGGUCCCAAAGUCAUGGUUAAGUGGGAAACGAUGUGGGAAGGCCCAGACAGCCAGGAUGUUGGCUUAGAAGCAGCCAUCAUUUAAAGAAAGCGUAAUAGCUCACUGGUCGAGUCGGCCUGCGCGGAAGAUGUAACGGGGCUAAACCAUGCACCGAAGCUGCGGCAGCGAACGUAUCACUUAAAGCGAUUCAGCGGGUUACGAUUGACGGAGCGAAGCGACGUCAAAGCGUAUACAAAGUCGAGUCGGUUUAAGGAUACGUUCGUUGGGUAGGGGAGCGUUCUGUAAGCCUGCGAAGGUGGCCUGUGAGGGUUGCUGGAGGUAUCAGAAGUGCGAAUGCUGACAUAAGUAACGAUAAAGCGGGUGAAAAGCCCGCUCGCCGGAAGACCAAGGGUUCCUGUCCAACGUUAAUCGGGGCAGGGUGAGUCGACCCCUAAGGCGAGGCCGAAAGGCGUAGUCGAUGGGAAACGGGUUAAUAUUCCCGUACUUGGUGUUACUGCGAAGGGGGACGGAGAAGGCUAUGUUGGCCGGGCGACGGUUGUCCCGGUUUAAGCGUGUAGGUGUGUGUUCCAGGUAAAUCCGGUUCACUUUAACACUGAGGCGUGAUGACGAGGCACUACGGUGCUGAAGCAACAAAUGCCCUGCUUCCAGGAAAAGCCUCUAAGCAUCAGGUAACAUCAAAUCGUACCCCAAACCGACACAGGUGGUCAGGUAGAGAAUACCAAGGCGCUUGAGAGAACUCGGGUGAAGGAACUAGGCAAAAUGGUGCCGUAACUUCGGGAGAAGGCACGCUGACACGUAGGUGAAGUGAUUUACUCAUGGAGCUGAAGUCAGUCGAAGAUACCAGCUGGCUGCAACUGUUUAUUAAAAACACAGCACUGUGCAAACACGAAAGUGGACGUAUACGGUGUGACGCCUGCCCGGUGCCGGAAGGUUAAUUGAUGGGGUCAGCGCAAGCGAAGCUCCUGAUCGAAGCCCCGGUAAACGGCGGCCGUAACUAUAACGGUCCUAAGGUAGCGAAAUUCCUUGUCGGGUAAGUUCCGACCUGCACGAAUGGCGUAAUGAUGGCCAGGCUGUCUCCACCCGAGACUCAGUGAAAUUGAACUCGCUGUGAAGAUGCAGUGUACCCGCGGCAAGACGGAAAGACCCCGUGAACCUUUACUAUAGCUUGACACUGAACAUUGAGCCUUGAUGUGUAGGAUAGGUGGGAGGCUUUGAAGUGUGGACGCCAGUCUGCAUGGAGCCGACCUUGAAAUACCACCCUUUAAUGUUUGAUGUUCUAACGUGGACCCGUGAUCCGGGUUGCGGACAGUGUCUGGUGGGUAGUUUGACUGGGGCGGUCUCCUCCUAAAGAGUAACGGAGGAGCACGAAGGUUGGCUAAUCCUGGUCGGACAUCAGGAGGUUAGUGCAAUGGCAUAAGCCAGCUUGACUGCGAGCGUGACGGCGCGAGCAGGUGCGAAAGCAGGUCAUAGUGAUCCGGUGGUUCUGAAUGGAAGGGCCAUCGCUCAACGGAUAAAAGGUACUCCGGGGAUAACAGGCUGAUACCGCCCAAGAGUUCAUAUCGACGGCGGUGUUUGGCACCUCGAUGUCGGCUCAUCACAUCCUGGGGCUGAAGUAGGUCCCAAGGGUAUGGCUGUUCGCCAUUUAAAGUGGUACGCGAGCUGGGUUUAGAACGUCGUGAGACAGUUCGGUCCCUAUCUGCCGUGGGCGCUGGAGAACUGAGGGGGCUGCUCCUAGUACGAGAGGACCGGAGUGGACGCAUCACUGGUGUUCGGGUUGUCAUGCCAAUGGCACUGCCCGGUAGCUAAAUGCGGAAGAGAUAAGUGCUGAAAGCAUCUAAGCACGAAACUUGCCCCGAGAUGAGUUCUCCCUGAGACUUAGAGUCUCCUGAAGGAACGUUGAAGACGACGACGUUGAUAGGCCGGGUGUGUAAGCGCAGCGAUGCGUUGAGCUAACCGGUACUAAUGAACCGUGAGGCUUAACCUUACAACGCCGAAG
This 3107-nucleotide ribosomal RNA is filed under the name Salmonella enterica subsp. enterica serovar Anatum str. CFSAN003961. RNAcentral's name for it is "23S ribosomal RNA". It matches the Rfam family "Bacterial large subunit ribosomal RNA". The record is from RNAcentral. Lineage: Bacteria; Pseudomonadati; Pseudomonadota; Gammaproteobacteria; Enterobacterales; Enterobacteriaceae.